CUGUGAAAUCUACAGUUAUUUACCGUAGAUUUCACAGUUACAUUACUGUAUAAGAUUUUUACAGUAGAACAUUUUAAAGUUUACAGUGAGACCGUAAAAAUCACAGUAAUCCAAGCAUUACAGUUGAAAUCACAGUAAUCAAAUCAUUACUGUAAAAAAUCACAAUUUAGCCACUAUGGUACUGUAAAUAGUAAAGUAAACUACUGUAAUUUUCCUUUUUUUAUCAUAUCUUUCUUUGUACCCCUUUCACAUGGACGGCCCCAGAUUAUUGUUGUUCAGAAUUCAUUACUGGAAUAUGAUAUAAAUACUCAAUGGUGAGUAAUAUUAAUAAAUUAAAAUGUGUCAUGUAACUUUUAGUUUGAGCUUUCUAUUCCAUACAAUAUAUAAUUUUUAAAGAAUUCACAUAAGAUUUCAAGAAUAUAUAUAUAAUAUAUAUUGUGACUGGGUGUUUAGGUGUAAAAUGGGUGUUAACAGGGCAAUAAAAUAUUAAAAUAUAAGCUUUAUCUUAAACUUCUCCAAAGUCUUUCCUGACAUGGUCUAACAAUAUAGGCUUCAUAAAAGCAUAAUUUUUGAAGAUAUAAUCCUCAGAUCUCGCGAGAUUAAAUAUGUCACGAGAUUUCUCGUGGAGGUGAAAUACUGGCCGUUUCUCAAACAAAAGGCUGCAUCCUUAGGAGGUCGCAUUUGUAGACUGCAUACGUCAUAAAGACUGACUUAUUACAGAAUUAACAAUUAUAACGUUUUACACUAUUAUAUUUAGUUAAUCAUAAAAUGUUGUAAUAUGCUUAUGACUUGGGAAUGUAAUGCUCAGUUAACUGAAAUAAACCAGGCUUGAUGACGUAUGGAGCCUGCAUAUGCGACCUCUGGAGGCUGCAGCUUUCUGUUUUUAUUUUUGAGCUUAUGUAUCUCAAUAUUAAUAACAUCUGAUUGAUUUUGAGUUUUGAACUUGAGCCAAAACUCUAAAGCGUGUCUAUUCAUAAAGACUUUUAUUUUGGGUAGGCUUUUAUUUUAUGUCAUGUGCAUUACUUGCCAAAAUUGGUGCUGUCUGGUCAACUCAUAAAUACGUAUCAUUGUUUUUUUAUAUAUAUUUACAAAAAUCUGUAUUUUUUUCUUCGGAAGCAGCUGCAGGAGAGAUAAACGUGCAAGUUUUCAGAGCUGUUUCUGAGCUGCAGGGCGAAAUCAAAGCGCCGGCGGAGUGGGCGGGGUUUACGCAACCCAGUCUGGAAAGUUCAAUCUGUGGUGGGAAAAAAGCGCGAAAGAAGCAACACUUGAACUUCUGACUCGUCGUUAGUGACAGAAAAGCUCCAUUAAUUCUCAAAUUAACGUUUCUUUACACACGACUUUGUCUUGUGGUUGUAUUUAUUUCGUUUUCUUCUUUGUGUUGAUUUCUUUCACUUUUUGCCUGAGAGGAAUUCAGCGAAAAGGUUUCAGUGAGAGCUCCGACGGAGACGUUUUCACAGACGUUAAUAACAUACUAUUACUCAAAUGUAUCUUUCUUUACACACGGCUUUGUCUUUUGGUUGUAACGUUAUUUAUUUUGUUUUCGUCUUUGUGUUGAUAUUUCACUUUUUGCCUGAGAGGAAUUCAGCGAUAACGUUUCCGUGAGAAGUCCGACGGAGACGUUUUCACAGCCGUUAACGUUAAUAUAUUUUUCCCACCCGUGGCCUCUGCCGGAGUAUCCAUCUUGGAAUCGCGGAUCCGACCUUCACCAACUGCUUAUACCUUUUAUCGAGACUUCCAGAAUAUAAGCGAGUACCACUCCCGCAGACGCAGAGGCCCAUCUGUCUCUCCCAAUCACUCCAAAGAUCAUCAUGCUCGUCAGGAAAAGCAUCACUUCAAAAAAGAGAGAAAAUCCUGACUGCAAAAAAAUGGAUGCUGUCGAUCGAGGGAAGGGUCGUAAUCAGGUGGAAGCCAGCACAACACUGGAGUUUGUUCAGAGGUUUUUAGUCAGGAUUAAUCCUGACUCCAACAAGUGCACUGCCAAGGAGCAGAUGAGCAAGACAACAGGGAGAGUGGUGAAGCGGAAGACUUCAUACAUGAACCUCCAUGUAAUCUCCUUCAUCAGGGACUUCAGGGAGUUCUAUUUGCUAACUGACUAGAUACAGGUCUCCAAGGUCAGGGCAUGCAAGAAGUCAUAGACCUUUGUCAAGUGGCAGGGGAAGUUUAUUUUCCUUUCUGUUUUAAAUGUUCAUGCAAAUGUUAAAUAUUUUAUUUUUUAAUGUUCAAUGUUUUAUUUUAUUUCAAUAUUGCCAUAGUGUUAUUCAUUGCUCUUUAGAAUGUGGUAAUAAUCAGUUAUUUGCACGGCUGGAAAGUAGUUAAUUUUUUUGACCAUAUUGUAUCAAUUUGCAUUAUUGUUAGGUCAUAGCAACCAGUCAUGUGGAACUAGUGAAUGAACUAGUAACAGUUCGCUCUGUAUGUUGCAUGUCGUCUAAUGUCCAUUAUCCCUUUAUGUUGUACCUGUUUGGUCAUCCUGUUCCCCAAAUGAUUUUAAAUAAAUAACUAUUAACAAUU
Non-coding RNA from Misgurnus anguillicaudatus (oriental weatherfish), 2508 nucleotides. NCBI's taxonomy places the organism in Eukaryota, Metazoa, Chordata, Actinopteri, Cypriniformes, Cobitidae. The record is from RefSeq and is a predicted model, not a curated record.